RNAcentral lists this ribosomal RNA (581 nucleotides) under uncultured bacterium. Its description in RNAcentral is "bacterial SSU rRNA". It matches the Rfam family "Bacterial small subunit ribosomal RNA", at positions 102 to 681 of the family's 1533-position model. The record is from RNAcentral.
ACGGGUGCGGAACACGUACGCAACUUACCCAAAACUGGGGAAUAGCCCGGGGAAACCCGGAUUAAUACCUCGUAACAUAAUGAAGUGGCAUCACUUUAUUAUUAUAGCUCCGGCGGUUUUGGAUGGGCGUGCGCCUGAUUAGGUAGUUGGCGGGGUAACGGCCCACCAAGCCUACGAUCAGUAACUGGUGUGAGAGCACGACCAGUCACACGGGCACUGAGACACGGGCCCGACUCCUACGGGAGGCAGCAGUAAGGAAUAUUGGUCAAUGGACGCAAGUCUGAACCAGCCAUGCCGCGUGAAGGAUGAAGGUCCUCUGGAUUGUAAACUUCUUUUAUAUGGGAAGAAAUCCAUCUUUUCUUGGGUGGUUGACGGUACCAUAGGAAUAAGCACCGGCUAACUCCGUGCCAGCAGCCGCGGUAAUACGGAGGGUGCAAGCGUUAUCCGGAUUCACUGGGUUUAAAGGGUGCGUAGGAGGGCAGGUAAGUCAGUGGUGAAAUCUCCAAGCUUAACUUGGAAACUGCCGUUGAUACUAUCUGUCUUGAAUACCGUGGAGGUGAGCGGAAUAUGUCAUGUAGCGG